GGCGCUGCUUAACACAUGCAAGUCGAACGAUGAAGCCUUUCGGGGUGGAUUAGUGGCGAACGGGUGAGUAACACGUGGGCAAUCUGCCCUUCACUCUGGGACAAGCCCUGGAAACGGGGUCUAAUACCGGAUAACACUCUGUCCCGCAUGGGACGGGGUUAAAAGCUCCGGCGGUGAAGGAUGAGCCCGCGGCCUAUCAGCUUGUUGGUGGGGUGAUGGCCUACCAAGGCGACGACGGGUAGCCGGCCUGAGAGGGCGACCGGCCACACUGGGACUGACACACGGCCCAGACUCCUACGGGAGGCAGCAGUGGGGAAUAUUGCACAAUGGGCGAAAGCCUGAUGCAGCGACGCCGCGUGAGGGAUGACGGCCUUCGGGUUGUAAACCUCUUUCAGCAGGGAAGAAGCGAAAGUGACGGUACCU
Molecule: ribosomal RNA, 423 nt
Filed under: Streptomyces griseus
Lineage: Bacteria; Bacillati; Actinomycetota; Actinomycetes; Kitasatosporales; Streptomycetaceae
Description: bacterial SSU rRNA
Rfam family: Bacterial small subunit ribosomal RNA
Source: RNAcentral